RNAcentral lists this ribosomal RNA (253 nucleotides) under uncultured bacterium. Its description in RNAcentral is "partial 16S ribosomal RNA". It matches the Rfam family "Bacterial small subunit ribosomal RNA", at positions 524 to 776 of the family's 1533-position model. The record is from RNAcentral.
UACAGAGGUCUCAAGCGUUGUUCGGAUUCAUUGGGCGUAAAGGGCGUGUAGGUGGCGCCGUAAGUCGGGUGUGAAAUUUUAGAGCUUAACUCUGAAACUGCAUUCGAUACUGCGGUGCUUGAGGACUGGAGAGGAGACUGGAAUUUACGGUGUAGCAGUGAAAUGCGUAGAUAUCGUAAGGAAGACCAGUGGCGAAGGCGGGUCUCUGGACAGUUCCUGACACUGAGACACGAAGGCCAGGGGAGCAAACGGG